Molecule: ribosomal RNA, 504 nt
Filed under: uncultured bacterium
Lineage: Bacteria
Description: partial 16S ribosomal RNA
Rfam family: Bacterial small subunit ribosomal RNA
Source: RNAcentral
AUUGAACGCUGGCGGCAGGCCUAACACAUGCAAGUCGGACGGUAGCACAGAGAGCUUGCUCUUGGGUGACGAGUGGCGGACGGGUGAGUAAUGUCUGGGGAUCUGCCCGAUAGAGGGGGAUAACCACUGGAAACGGUGGCUAAUACCGCAUAACGUCGCAAGACCAAAGAGGGGGACCUUCGGGCCUCUCACUAUCGGAUGAACCCAGAUGGGAUUAGCUAGUAGGCGGGGUAAUGGCCCACCUAGGCGACGAUCCCUAGCUGGUCUGAGGGGAUGACCAGCCACACUGGAACUGAGACACGGUCCAGACUCCUACGGGAGGCAGAAGUGGGGAAUAUUGCACAAUGGGCGCAAGCCUGAUGCAGCCAUGCCGCGUGUAUGAAGAAGGCCUUCGGGUUGUAAAGUACUUUCAGCGGGGAGGAAGGCGAUGCGGUUAAUAACCGCGUCGAUUGACGUUACCCGCAGAAGAAGCACCGGCUAACUCCGUGCCAGCCGCCGCCGUAA